RNAcentral lists this long non-coding RNA (206 nucleotides) under Prunus persica (peach). RNAcentral's name for it is "long non-coding RNA (PPER_LNC008671)". Lineage: Eukaryota; Viridiplantae; Streptophyta; Magnoliopsida; Rosales; Rosaceae. The record is from RNAcentral.
AUCAAAUUGGACACUCCUAGCCUUUUAUGUGGCCAACCCUAGCUCACGGUACAGACAAGUGUUGUUGAAUCAGUUUAGUUUUCUUGAUUCAUGUUUUGGCAGAUAUUUUGUAUCCAUUCGAAUCCUCAAUCUCUAAUGUGAACUCUCAUACUUUUUCCAAUUAAAUUGGACACUUCUAGCCUUGUAUGUGGCCAACCCUAGCUCAC